AGCGGGAUAAGGUGUGCAACACUGACACCUGCUGUCUCUCUGGCAGCAUUAUACUGGCAAUCUCCAGGCCUGAACUGGCGACAGGGCUGCCAGGACACUGGCUUUUGCCAUAAGGUUACCAAAUCUGUUCUUGCCCAGGGUCGGGAGAGGUGGUGUUUGCAGUGAUUUGGGGCAGGGCACAAUAAGGUAAGUGAUACAAAGCCUUCCAGCAAUAGGGCUGUAAUUCUCAUUUUAAGUGAAAGUCUUUUAUACAGAAUGGUGGUUUGUGUUUUUCAGCUAUGAAGGCUUGUUACUAAAUAAAUAAAUGUCUCUGUAGCCAUGCUUCAUACUUCUGUCCAACAGCUUGAACAGACCAGGAUGACUAAAUUCCCUUUUUGUUUCCUAGAAGAUUUAUAUUAACCUACUCACAAUCACAGUAUACAUGCACACAAAGAAAUCUGCAUGCAUUUGCCAAUGUAAGUACAAGAGUAAGCAUGCACAUAAAAACGUGUGAAUGGCUACCAUCUACAUGCACAUACUCAUAGGUGCCAGGCAAAGUUAUUAAUCCAGCUAUAUGGAAAAAGUAUCUGAUACAAACUCAGUAAAUCUCAGUGCUAAGUCUGAAUUUAGAACCGGUGCUCUGGGUUUAGUCAAAUCUCUUUCAGUUUGAACAUCUAAUAAAAAAUAUCUCCUAGAGGAAAGUGAGAAAGAGAUUGGAUACAUUAUAAUGUGUAACAGGAAAGUAGGAGGAUCCCACCUUGUCAUCUCUUGUCUCCACAGUUACAGCUGCUUGUCUCCAAUGAUGUGACAAAUCUACCAAUGCUUCUCCCUAGCCACAUACAGUGCACAGUGCCUGCCCCAAAGAACUUGUAAUGCAACCCAGACACACACAUCUGGACAAGUACCAAAAAGGAGUCAUAUGCCCUUAAACAAAAUGAGAGACAUACAGAAGUUACAUGAUAGAGCUUUGUAUGGGAACACAGACAAUAUGCAUGUCUGUAUGCAGCUUGGAGAACAGUAUGAAUGUAAUUUUCUCUGUAUGGCAUCCACAGGGGCCCUUGGACAUUUGGAUACAUAAAGAAGCUGUUUUUAUCUCCUUGGCCAAAAUGAUCAGUCCCUGGAAUAAGCAGGUAAAAAAGCAUGAUGUUCAGCGUGCUGUUAGUUUACCUUCACCACGUGAUAUUCAGUUUGCUUUUAAAAUGCUUACACUGUGGCUGCCCCUUUGGCUGCCUGUGCUGCUAGUGGUGAUGGG
Molecule: long non-coding RNA, 1231 nt
Organism: Apteryx owenii (little spotted kiwi)
Lineage: Eukaryota; Metazoa; Chordata; Aves; Apterygiformes; Apterygidae
Source: Ensembl